Long non-coding RNA from Talpa occidentalis (Iberian mole), 645 nucleotides. RefSeq lists it as uncharacterized. The record is from RefSeq and is a predicted model, not a curated record. The transcript has 4 exons. NCBI's taxonomy places the organism in Eukaryota, Metazoa, Chordata, Mammalia, Eulipotyphla, Talpidae.
UUAUGUUGACAGUUUGUGCAUCUGAUCUGCUAUGAUGAAUAUAGCACAUUACCUCUGUGGUCUUCUUCCUGAAAACCCAUACCCUGUCCAAUCAAGAGAAAAACAUCAGACAAAUCCCAGUUGAUGGUUAUUUUACUAUGGAUGCUUUGCAGUUGCCAAGAGAACAGUAAGCCAUGUGCUGGGAUAUCCAUCAGGGGUGCAUGCCUCACUACAACACAGGAAGAAGGGAGAGGAAAUUGAAAGAAUGGUGCCAGGUACCGAAGGUGAAUGGCUUGAAUCCAUAUUCACCGGAGAACAAGAGGUUAAACAAGAUGCAUUUGGAUAGUGUUUACAUAUGAUGUUUGCAGGAUCUCUGAAAGUGCUUCUGGCUCUUCACCCAUCUAUAGUGAGGGGGCUGAAGAUGGUGGCAGAGAAAAGGCAUCAACUCCAUCCCAGACAAAGAUGUGUGAUGAAGCUUAACAUUAAGAUUUUUCUGGAGCAUCAUUACAUCUCCAAUUAACUCUCCAUAAACACACACUUGAAAUUAUGAAAUAUUCCAUGAAACUUAGAGAUGGGAAAUGCAGCAUUUAAGAAAUAAAAUGUUAAUGUUCCUCAAGUUUCUGGAGAAAAACAAAUUAAGAGAAAUAAAAAAAAUUAAACAUAAAA